RNAcentral lists this long non-coding RNA (3391 nucleotides) under Fragaria vesca (wild strawberry). RNAcentral describes it as "long non-coding RNA (FVES_LNC000541)". Lineage: Eukaryota; Viridiplantae; Streptophyta; Magnoliopsida; Rosales; Rosaceae. The record is from RNAcentral.
CCUUCUUCCUUUUUUGGGCUCUGUUGGGUUGUGAUCUAGGUUUUUUCAUGUUAGGACUGCGUGAAGAAAAAAAUAAGUAAAACAUUAGAAAUUAUGACCACAUAAAAUGCAACUCUACAACAAUAUAUAUACUCAUGGAAACGCUUAACAACCUGUUUAAUAACUUUUUUUUUACAUGCUCGUAGUUGUCUUUAGUCUUAUACAAUUGAUCUGACAAGGUACGAUACUGGAAAUAGAAAAGAUAAGUGAGACACUCAAGGUUACAGUAACUUAAGCAAAUUAUAGAUUAACACUUGAAAUAGACCAAUGCCUUAGUUAAUACACACAAAAACAAAGAUGCAAUUGUGCAUUGUAGGCAUUGUAAUCUGUAGCAUAACGGUUAAGAAAAGACAACCUGACAGUUGCCAUCUCCCAUGACAAUGCGCUCUGCCAUACUUUUGAACUUCAAAUUAUUAAUGAAACUCGCAAAAGCUUACCACAAACAAAUUCUAGCAUAAUCUCUAUUUCGUGACAAGGUCAUGAGGAGAAUAUUAACAAGGAUUUAGUUUCCAUAACUCCAUAUUCAAUAACCAACCCUCAUUCUAUAACUACAGAUGUCAUCAUUCAUGCGGUUUAAGAUUUUCUUUCUCAAGUAACUAUUCAUAUUAGAAAGUAUGAAAAGAAUUAGCAUGUAUAGAACAAUCUUAAGAGUCAGAACCAUCAUAUUAAUAGAUUGUCUUUGCAUCUGACAAAGACAUGCUUAAGUCUUCUAACCAACCAUUUCAUAUGGUGAAUGAUAUGACAAGGUACAAUAGUCAUCCACUUGUGAAGUAAUGAACUUGAAACCAAAAAAAUGAUUACAUUGACAUUAGUAGUAGAGAUGCCAAAAUCAAAAUUCUAUUUCUCUACACGGACAACAUCAGUAAAAAGCUUCAAUAAAAAAAAACAGUAGAGAACUAUUUUCUAAUCACUGCUCUACAUAGCCAAAUCAAACUCCAACCAACAAAACGAGGAUAACAUUAUAAGUUAAAUGAGAUGAAAUGAAACAUGCUUGGAUGCUGUAAUUUAGGAAAUGAGUUGAAAAGCUUUAUCAUAUUAUAUAAUUGCAUAAGAGGAUUCAACACAUGAAUAUUGAUUUUUUAAAGCACAAUAUAUCCGAAAACGAAAUCAUAUUACUUCCAAGCCAGCUUUAGAACACAAACUCCAACAUUGCCCAAUAUUUGAAUCGCUAUUAACUAACAACCAACAUCAAAGGUCUUAAAAAUGACAAUAAAAAUUCAAUAUAAGUAAAACAUCCUUAAACUAGCAACCAACAUCAAAGGUCUUAAAAAUGACAAUAAAAAUUCAAUAUACAUCCUUAAACUAGUAAGGAUUCUUCAUCCUUUCAAGCAUAUCUCUACUUCUCAAAUGAGUUUGGUCUUCUCUUCUUGCCAAAACCAACCACUGCCACAUCAACACAGCAUACAAGGAAUCAAAAACAAAAUCCAAAAUAUGAUUUCCUACAAAACAUAAGUUCCUAAAGACCCAUAUCACCAUCUAUGGAGAAUGUUAUCAAACAAGAUAUAUCACUAUAUAUCAUAAUCAAAUAUUACCAUUUAUCACAACCAGAUCAAAAUUAGUAAAUCAUGAACGAAUUCAAUAUUUACAACAAAAAACUUAACUGAACAUUAUUUAUCACUUAGUUCCUCACACAAUGAAACUUAGUUUCUUACACAAUGAAAUGAACUAAUGACCACCAUUGACAAAACACUAAACUUAAGCAAAAACACAUGAAAAACUCUAGUGCCUAUAAGUGUAAACCCAAACAACAAAAGUGGAAAGUUGAAUAACAAUUGUCAAUCGAACGUUACAAUAACAACUUAGCCAUGGUCAACUAGUCAAUCCAAAGAAAAUAUAACCAAAAUACAAUACAUGAACAAAUUUCUUACCACUUCAAAUGCCACAAAUUGUUGUCACUGCUUCAGCUGUCAAAAAAAUCAACCCAUCUUGCAAACAUCUUCUGUUUAUUUUCAUGGUCUCUUGCUGAUCUCUCAUAAUCAAUCUGUCAAUCAUUUUCAACCUUUGGAUUUACCUCCUCACUCGUUUUCUCCUCUUCACUUGACUUCUUGGAACCUCCCUUGUGAGACACAAAUCCCCGCACGCAUAGGUGGGUCAACACUCAAUAAGUAUACCAAAUCCCAAAUCAAUCCCACCAAAAUACAAUGGUCUUUAAACCUCUGACGAUAAACCAAUUUUGUAGAAGUGGGGUUUGAACAACAUCAUCAACUAGAGUCACAUAUUUAGAGUCUUCUUUGAUAUAAUACUUGGUGGGAUCCCAUAGAAUAUAGACGUGAGGUGCUUAAUGAGGGAACUUAGCCAAGCUCAUAUGAAUUUUGACCUUAUACUUCACUGAUAAGAGAUGGGGAAAUAACCCGUCACAUAAGGGGUCGGAGCAGAAACGUUACCCACCUACACAUGAACCUCCAACCUAGAAAAAUUACCAAACAACUGCUUUAGGGCAUUUUGGAGCCGCCCAUCAGUAAUCGUAAGAGGCAUGUUAAAAGACACAUGAUAAGUAUUCCUACGACGCUUUUUAAAGGGAAUUCAUGAACCUAACUCCUGAGAUAACUCAAUUAGUAGGUUGGCUAGAGUGGAGUGAUGACUCCACCGUGUAAGAUAAGAAAUUUGAACCUUCCCACAUGGGCUCACCAUCUGAUGGUUCAUCACCACAACCUCAUCAUGUUUUGCGAGCACGUAGACAUCCGGGGUUGAUAUGGGGAAAUUAGGAGUCAACCAGCCUACUACAGCUAACUUAAGGUUGGUUCUAGGCUUAAUAAAUCUAGAAAAACCAAUCAGAGUCAUUUUGGAUCCGUCCUCAUAGCUGAAGUUUGCAGUUGCUAUGUGAAAAUGAUGCACUGCUAAAUAUACAAAUUGACUCUCAACCUACGACAAAUUCGAAUAAGAUACUAUUUCUCGAUUUUGAUAAACAAAAUUACGCACUCCAACAACGCUGUUGUUAGUCAUUUUGAGAAGAUAACAGAGAAGGAGGUAAGAUUUUUGGGUUUGGGUUUAAGAGGAGAAUUGAUGAAUGUCUAAAGGGGCUUUUAGGCUUACACCCUAAAACCCCAACCAGAGAACUGUCGCAACACUAAUAAACCGUAAACAAGAAAAUGAUAGACUGCAAACUGAGCUCACCGGAGAAUUUCUUAUUUUCAUUUUUGUAGUUAAUCACAAUCAUGGGACUGUCACCUACAUCUCGAACCUUAAAAGGUCAUAACUUCAUAUCACUCUUAACACAUGCAUCAUUGAAUUUCCUAUCAAUCAAUCGCUUUACAUAUGAAAGAUUAUAAAUAAUAAUAAUAAAAAAAAACAUACAUCAUUAGUUACGAGGAAAAUUCUUUCAUAACUUCCAGCCUUGAACUUUUGUCUCUUC